Molecule: ribosomal RNA, 1356 nt
Filed under: metagenome
Description: bacterial SSU rRNA
Rfam family: Bacterial small subunit ribosomal RNA
Source: RNAcentral
AGAGUUUGAUCCUGGCUCAGGAUGAACGCAGGCGGUAUGCUUAACACAUGCAAGUCGAACGGACUCUUCGGAGUUAGUGGCGGACGGGUGAGUAACGCGUGAGAAUCUGCCUACAGAUUGGGGACAACGUCGGGAAACUGACGCUAAUACCGAAUGUGCCGAGAGGUGAAAGAUUUAUCGUCUGUAGAUGAGCUCGCGUCUGAUUAGCUAGUUGGGGCGGUAACGGCGCACCAAGGCGACGAUCAGUAACUGGUCUGAGAGGAUGACCAGUCACACUGGGACUGAGACACGGCCCAGACUCCUACGGGAGGCAGCAGUGGGGAAUUUUCCGCAAUGGGCGAAAGCCUGACGGAGCAAUACCGCGUGCGGGAGGACGCUUUUUGGAGUGUAAACCGCUUUUCUCAAGGAAGAUGAUGACGGUACUUGAGGAAUCAGCAUCGGCUAACUUCGUGCCAGCAGCCGCGGUAAUACGAGGGAUGCAAGCGUUAUCCGGAAUUAUUGGGCGUAAAGCGUUCGUAGGUGGCAAAUUAAGUCUGUUGUUAAAACGAGGAGCUUAACUCCAUAUCGGCAAUGGAAGCUGGUUAGCUAGAGUAUGGUAGGGGUAACAGGAAUUCCCAGUGUAGCGGUGAAAUGCGUAGAUAUUGGGAAGAACACCAGCGGCGAAAGCGUGUUACUGGGCCAUUACUGACACUGAGGGACGAAAGCUAGGGGAGCGAAAGGGAUUAGAUACCCCUGUAGUCCUAGCCGUAAACGAUGAGAACUAGGUGUUGCGCGUAUCGACCCGCGCGGUGCCGUAGCUAACGCGUUAAGUUCUCCGCCUGGGGAGUACGCACGCAAGUGUGAAACUCAAAGGAAUUGACGGGGGCCCGCACAAGCGGUGGAGUAUGUGGUUUAAUUCGAUGCAACGCGAAGAACCUUACCAGGGUUUGACAUCCUCGGAACUUUCUGGAAACAGAUUGGUGCCUUCGGGAACCGAGAGACAGGUGGUGCAUGGCUGUCGUCAGCUCGUGUCGUGAGAUGUUGGGUUAAGUCCCGCAACGAGCGCAACCCACGUUUUUAGUUGCCAGCAUUAAGUUGGGCACUCUAGAGAGACUGCCGGUGACAAACCGGAGGAAGGUGUGGAUGACGUCAAGUCAGCAUGCCCCUUACAUCCUGGGCUACACACGUACUACAAUGCUACGGACAAAGGGCAGCGAGCCAGCAAUGGUCUGCAAAUCCCAUAAACCGUAGCUCAGUUCAGAUUGCAGGCUGCAACUCGCCUGCAUGAAGGCGGAAUCGCUAGUAAUCGCAGGUCAGCAUACUGCGGUGAAUACGUUCCCGGGCCUUGUACACACCGCCCGUCACACCAUGGGAGUU